This 465-nucleotide ribosomal RNA is filed under the name uncultured bacterium. RNAcentral's name for it is "partial 16S ribosomal RNA". It matches the Rfam family "Bacterial small subunit ribosomal RNA", at positions 338 to 795 of the family's 1533-position model. The record is from RNAcentral.
CCUACGGGGGGCAGCAGUGGGGAAUAUUGCGCAAUGGGCGAAAGCCUGACGCAGCGACGCCGCGUGAGGGAUGAAGGUCUUCGGAUCGUAAACCUCUGUCAGCAGGGAAGAACGGUCACUGUGCUAAUCAGCAGUGAAUUGACGGUACCUGAAAAGGAAGCACCGGCUAACUCCGUGCACGCAGCCGCGGUAAUACGGAGGGUGCGGGCGUUAAUCGGAAUUACUGGGCGUAAAGCGCUCGUAGGCGGUAUGUCAAGUCAAGGGGGAAAUCCCCGCGCUCAACGUGGGAACUGCCUUUGAAACUGGCAAACUGGAGUGUGUGAGAGGAUAGUGGAAUUCCAGGUGUAGGAGUGAAAUCCGUAGAUAUCUGGAGGAACAUCAGUGGCGAAGGCGACUAUCUGGCACAUAACUGACGCUGAGGAGCGAAAGCGUGGGUAGCAAACAGGAUUAGAUACCCCUGUAGUC